UACGAAGGGGGCUAGCGUUUUUCGGAAUUACUGGGCGUAAAGCGCACGUAGGCGGGUUUGUAAGUUGGGGGUGAAAUCCCGGGGCCCAACCCCGGAACUGCCUUCAAGACUGCAGACCUGGAGGUCAGGAGAGGCGAGCGGAAUACCGAGUGUAGAGGUGAAAUUCGUAGAUAUUCGGUGGAACACCAGUGGCGAAGGCGGCUCGCUGGACUGAUACUGACGCUGAGGUGCGAAAGCGUGGGGAGCAAACAGG
This 253-nucleotide ribosomal RNA is filed under the name uncultured bacterium. RNAcentral's name for it is "partial 16S ribosomal RNA". It matches the Rfam family "Bacterial small subunit ribosomal RNA", at positions 524 to 776 of the family's 1533-position model. The record is from RNAcentral.